UACGGAGGAUGCGAGCGUUAUCCGGAUUUAUUGGGUUUAAAGGGUGCGUAGGCGGGCUGUUAAGUCAGCGGUAAAAUUUGGAGGCUCAACCUCCACGAGCCGUUGAAACUGGCGGUCUUGAGUGGGCGAGAAGUAUGCGGAAUGCGUGGUGUAGCGGUGAAAUGCAUAGAUAUCACGCAGAACCCCGAUUGCGAAGGCAGCAUACCGGCGUCCUACUGACGCUGAAGCACGAAAGCGUGGGUAUCGAACAG
Molecule: ribosomal RNA, 251 nt
Filed under: uncultured bacterium
Lineage: Bacteria
Description: partial 16S ribosomal RNA
Rfam family: Bacterial small subunit ribosomal RNA
Source: RNAcentral